UACGGAGGGUGCUAGCGUUGUUCGGAAUCACUGGGCGUAAAGCGCGUGUAGGCGGCCUCCCAAGUCUGAUGUGAAAGCCCGGGGCUCACCCCCGGAAGUGCAUUGGAAACUGUGAGGCUCGAGUCCCGGAGAGGAGAGUGGAAUUCCUGGGGUAGCGGUGAAAUGCGUAGAUAUCAGGAGGAACACCGGUGGCGAAGGCGGCUCUCUGGACGGUGACUGACGCUGAGACGCGAAAGCGUGGGGAGCGAACCGG
This 253-nucleotide ribosomal RNA is filed under the name uncultured bacterium. RNAcentral's name for it is "partial 16S ribosomal RNA". It matches the Rfam family "Bacterial small subunit ribosomal RNA", at positions 524 to 776 of the family's 1533-position model. The record is from RNAcentral.